Molecule: ribosomal RNA, 441 nt
Filed under: uncultured bacterium
Lineage: Bacteria
Description: SSU rRNA
Rfam family: Bacterial small subunit ribosomal RNA
Source: RNAcentral
UCAUGGGCGAGAGCCUGACCAGCCAAGUAGCGUGAAGGAUGAAGGCUCUANGGGUCGUAAACUUCUUUUAUAUGGGAAUAAAGUUUUCCACGUGUGGAAUUUUGUAUGUACCAUAUGAAUAAGGAUCGGCUAACUCCGUGCCAGCAGCCGCGGUAAUACGGAGGAUCCGAGCGUUAUCCGGAUUUAUUGGGUUUAAAGGGAGCGUAGGUGGAUUGUUAAGUCAGUUGUGAAAGUUUGCGGCUCAACCGUAAAAUUGCAGUUGAAACUGGCAGUCUUGAGUACAGUAGAGGUGGGCGGAAUUCGUGGUGUAGCGGUGAAAUGCUUAGAUAUCACGAAGAACUCCGAUUGCGAAGGCAGCUCACUAGACUGUCACUGACACUGAUGCUCGAAAGUGUGGGUAUCAAACAGGAUUANAUACCCUGGUAGUCCAAGGGCGAAUUC